GAUGAACGCUGGCGGCGUGCCUAAUACAUGCAAGUAGAACGCUGAAGCUUGGUGCUUGCACCGAGCGGAUGAGUUGCGAACGGGUGAGUAACGCGUAGGUAACCUGCCUGGUAGCGGGGGAUAACUAUUGGAAACGAUAGCUAAUACCGCAUAAUAGCAGUUGUUGCAUGACAACUGUUUGAAAGGUGCAAUUGCAUCACUACCAGAUGGACCUGCGUUGUAUUAGCUAGUUGGUGGGGUAACGGCUCACCAAGGCGACGAUACAUAGCCGACCUGAGAGGGUGAUCGGCCACACUGGGACUGAGACACGGCCCAGACUCCUACGGGAGGCAGCAGUAGGGAAUCUUCGGCAAUGGACGGAAGUCUGACCGAGCAACGCCGCGUGAGUGAAGAAGGUUUUCGGAUCGUAAAGCUCUGUUGUAAGAGAAGAACGAGUGUGAGAGUGGAAAGUUCACACUGUGACG
RNAcentral lists this ribosomal RNA (464 nucleotides) under Streptococcus sp. oral taxon 486. RNAcentral describes it as "bacterial SSU rRNA". It matches the Rfam family "Bacterial small subunit ribosomal RNA", at positions 28 to 474 of the family's 1533-position model. Lineage: Bacteria; Bacillati; Bacillota; Bacilli; Lactobacillales; Streptococcaceae. The record is from RNAcentral.